Molecule: ribosomal RNA, 740 nt
Filed under: uncultured bacterium
Lineage: Bacteria
Description: bacterial SSU rRNA
Rfam family: Bacterial small subunit ribosomal RNA
Source: RNAcentral
AGAGUUUGAUCAUGGCUCAGAACGAACGCUGGCGGCAGGCUUAACACAUGCAAGUCGAACGCCCCGCAAGGGGAGUGGCAGACGGGUGAGUAACGCGUGGGAAUCUACCUAGUUCUACGGAACAACAGUUGGAAACGACUGCUAAUACCGUAUACGCCCUAUGGGGGAAAGAUUUAUCGGAAUUAGAUGAGCCCGCGUAAGAUUAGCUAGUUGGUGGGGUAAUGGCCUACCAAGGCGACGAUCUUUAGCUGGUCUGAGAGGAUGAUCAGCCACACUGGGACUGAGACACGGCCCAGACUCCUACGGGAGGCAGCAGUGGGGAAUAUUGGACAAUGGGCGCAAGCCUGAUCCAGCCAUGCCGCGUGAGUGAUGAAGGCCUUAGGGUUGUAAAGCUCUUUCAGUGGGGAAGAUAAUGACGGUACCCACAGAAGAAGCCCCGGCUAACUUCGUGCCAGCAGCCGCGGUAAUACGAAGGGGGCUAGCGUUGUUCGGAUUUACUGGGCGUAAAGCGCACGUAGGCGGAUUGUUAAGUCAGGGGUGAAAUCCUGGAGCUCAACUCCAGAACUGCCUUUGAUACUGGCAAUCUCGAGUCCGGAAGAGGUAAGUGGAACUCCUAGUGUAGAGGUGGAAUUCGUAGAUAUUAGGAAGAACACCAGUGGCGAAGGCGGCUUACUGGUCCGGAACUGACGCUGAGGUGCGAAAGCGUGGNNAGCAAACAGGAUUAGAUACCCNNGUAGUCC